Schistosoma curassoni is the source of this 45-nucleotide non-coding RNA. The record is from Rfam. NCBI's taxonomy places the organism in Eukaryota, Metazoa, Platyhelminthes, Trematoda, Strigeidida, Schistosomatidae.
AUGCAGCUGAUGAGUCCCAAAUAAGACGAGACGCGCGUCGUGGAU